This 790-nucleotide long non-coding RNA is filed under the name Drosophila guanche. Lineage: Eukaryota; Metazoa; Arthropoda; Insecta; Diptera; Drosophilidae. The record is from RNAcentral.
GCCUUGGCAAAGCAGUCACGUUUAUCAUAUAAAAAAAUGAAAUAAAUCUCAGCUUUGGUUAGAGCCAUAAAUAUUUGAAUUCUUCCAAAGAUCAUGGACACAUCAGCGGUCUAUGCUCGCGUUAUUAAAAUUCUUGGCCGCACUGGCUCUCAGGGUCAGUGUACACAGGUCAAAGUGGAGUUCCUGGGCCAGCAAGACCGUCAGAUAAUCCGUAAUGUGAAGGGACCCAUCCGCGUGGGUGACAUUCUCACACUCUUGGAGUCGGAACGUGAGGCCAGAAGGCUUUGCUGGGAGAGCACAACACAGCAGAUGUCUUGGGGUGCUUGAAAUUUCCCGAAUCGUAAGUUCGUGUGGCAAAAAGACAAAGAAAACCGGCUCUGAAGGGAUUUUCCUGAAUUUUUUAGAUACUUUUGGGCAACAAAUGCGAAGAGUAUAGAGAAGACAUCGGUUAGGUAUGUCUGCCAGCGAGAGAUGAUCGAAUACGAUAAUACAAUAAAAAGACAUUGAUUUAUUCUGCUGAAGAGUUAAAUUGUUAUUUUUGAUUUAUUCCAACAGUACAAUUCGCGUCGAAGAUAUCACAGCAGGGGAAAGCAGGGCCUGAGAUUCCGUUCCGAGAAUGCAACAACAAAAUACACACACACACGGCAUUGCCACGCGUGUUGAAUUUUGCUUAUAAAAUCUGUGCUUUAAACUAAGAGCUAGACGUACACCUCGAAGACUUCAAGGGGAACGCGCGCUACACAAAUAUUUUACAUCAAAUCGCCAAGUUGGGCGAUGCAGCUGAUUCGAU